UUGAAUUCAUUUAGCUAAGUAGGUUAGUUUUGUAGAUUGCCCAAAGAACAUUUUGUGCUGAAUAUAUGUAACGUUAACGACCACUCUGUUGUGUCAGAGUAACUUUAGACCAGGUUAAAACAACAGCUUCUCGACUUAUAAUUUGCUGUUUAUAUGACAGGGUGUUGAAAAAUUAGCAAAAGCUAGCUGGUUACCUAACGCUAGAUAGUGGAGUUGAUUGUUUUCAUUCAACUUAGUGCAGUCAUGCAGUGGUCGAUAAAAUAGAUUAUCCACACGCAAACGGAUCUCUGUACUGAUCACCACUUCAGUAAUAAUGCAGACGGUUAUCACUAGGACAGAGAGAGAACGCUCCAUACCUAAUAAAUGUCAAAUAGAUGGGAAAAUGGUUUCACAGCGAUCUAUAAAUGCCAGUGGAGAAACUAACUGUAAUUUCGAGGUCGUGAAGAGAAAGCUUGGUUUAUCUUCAGCGAGCCACAUAGUUGAAUCUUUUGAAGAUCCCGAAGUACCUGACAUUAGGCUAGGCGGACGCGGGGACCCGGUCUUGUUGGAUCAGAUGUGGAUCCGAUUCGCUUCACGGCGAGACCGGUCCGAACUCAAGUGGCGUUUCUCCCGUACGCACGCGCUUUAACGUCGUCGUCGUCAUCCGCGAGCACCGGCACCGUCUCCUCUUCCGCGACCCCACGCCCCUUAGCGUAGCAGCGCUGGCAUCAGCUGCGAAAAAGGCAAACGCUACCCGUCUGCUCUUGACCGUCGUCUUGUCCCGAGCAUUUAAAGUUGAGGAGCUGUUCGCCGUUCCUAAUGGCAAAAUGCGAAGUGUACGCGAGCGCCUGGCGUGUCCGGUUUUAAUCUCAGACGUCUGCACGCGUAAAUGCAUCUCUGCCGCCGCCAUCUUGCUCAGGGCUUCUGACUAUGGAUGGCCCAGUCAAAUAAACCAUGCCAGACUUUUGUGCCGCUUUUGGAUGUUCCAAAGAAAGAAAUGCCAGAACUAAGCAACUAGGAGUAACAUUUCACAGGUUUCCAAAAGACAAAGUUAAAAGAAAGGCAUGGACUGCAGCCCUGAAGAGAAGAGACUUUGAGCCAAAUGACUAUUCAGUCGUCUGCAGCUGCCAUUUCAAGUCAGAAGACUUUGACAGGACUGGACAGACAACUCGUUUAAAGGAAGGAGUUAUCCCGUCAGUUUUUACAUUUCCUGACCAUCUUUGCAAACUGCCCACUCCGAUCGGGAUAUCGCAUAAAGGAGCUGCAGAAUGUCCAGAUGUUCACGAUCGUCUGUCAGAGGACUUAGAAGAGUCAACCUCAGAUCAUCAGUAUGCCCUUGACCCAGUUAAAAUAAAAAAAAAGUUAACUGAGACUCAGGAGAAGGUGGAGGAUUUGCAGCAGGACUUAAGAAAUGCCAGGGAUCGGGAAAGGAGACAUAAGGAGACAGUGAAUUCCCUGCUAGAGGAUUUAAAAAAUAAAAAUGUACUAAGAGAGGAACUGCAGCAGAAGCCUGACUUCUACUCUGAAAAUGACAAUACUGAGAAGAAGUGCUUCACAUGCUCGUAUUGUGGCAGGAAGUUUGCAAGGCGUCAGACAUUGGAGCAACAUGAACGAAUCCACACAGGAGAGAAGCCUUUCCGGUGCUCGGAGUGUAGCAAAUGUUUCAGACAGAGAUCUGCUCUGCGUGUGCAUAGGAAAGGUCACACAGGGGACAAAGCUUUCGAAUGCUUUGUGUGCUUCAAGAGGUUUUAUAGAUCAGGAGACCUGAAAGCACAUUUGGGAAUUCAUACAGGCGUGCGAGAACACAACUGCUCUGUAUGCUCAAAAGGGUUUGGACGGCCCAGUGAUCUGAGGAGACACAUGCAGACUCACGAAGCUGACCCUGUGGUAGUCGAUGUAGACAAGAGCCCACACGAGUGCUCUCAGUGUGGAAAGAAGUUCACUCGACGUGCGCAGGUUGAAAUCCACCAGCGAGUGCAUACGGGAGAGAAGCCUUACUGCUGUGCUCAUUGUGGGGAGAGCUUUCGCUGGAGACAGAACUUCAAAGCUCAUCAGCGUAAUCACACGUGUGAGAAGCCGUAUCACUGCUCAGACUGUGAUAAACGCUUCACCUGCUUAUCAGCUCUGGAAAAGCAUCAAGCUUUACUUCAUUCAGGAAUUCUUCGGCAGACCACUCAGUGUAACCAGGGCACUUACAAAGAAGAUGGUCGACAUCAGUGCUGUCAGUGUGGGAAGAGUUUCAGCCAAGCGAAGGAUCUGGCGGUGCAUCAGCGAGUUCACACUGGAGAGAAGCCUUAUAAGUGCUCUCAGUGUGAGAAGAAGUUUCGGCAGAUAGGCCACCUCAAUGAGCACCAGCGUGUACACUCAGGGGAGAAGCCUUACCAGUGCUCAUUCUGCUACAAGCGCUUCCCUUAUUCCCAGUCCAUGAAGAAACACAUGCGUGUGAUUCAUGGAGUACAUCAGGGUAACACACAAGAGAGAAGCUUCACUUUAAUGGAUGAUGUGGAAGUAGUAAAAGUUGGUUCAGUCCCUACCAGCCCAUCAUCACCACAGUCUGAUGACCAGGGAGCUUCAGAAGAACUAAUUCCACAUAUAAAAACUGAAGACAGCUGCAUGCCAUUAGUGGUGAGAGUAAAAGUUGGUUUGGCGGAAACCUCAGAAGACUCUGAAUAUUCUGAAGUUAUUGAUGAAUGUUCAGAGCACAUUAAAUCAGAAGAGAACAGCUUGUUGGGUGAACCUGAUGAUGAGCUUUCAUGGCACGUACAAACUGAAGAGAAGUACUUUCCUUUGGAGGAGGAUGUAGCAGGAGCUAAAGUUUGUUCAGGUUCCUGUAGUCCAGCACUCGAGCUCACUGAGCACCCUGGAGUUUUGGAAGAAUUUGGAAUUCUUCGGCAGAACACUCAGUGUAACCAGGGCACUUACAAUGAAGAUGGUCGACAUCAGUGCUGUCAGUGUGGGAAGAGUUUCAGCCAAGCGAAGGAUCUGGCGGUGCAUCAGCGAGUUCACACUGGAGAGAAGCCUUAUAAGUGCUCUCAGUGUGAGAAGAAGUUUCGGCAGAUAGGCCACCUCAAUGAGCACCAGCGUGUACACUCAGGGGAGAAGCCUUACCAAUGCUCAUUCUGCUACAAGCGCUUCCCUUAUUCCCAGUCCAUGAAGAAACACAUGCGUGUGAUUCAUGGAGUACAUGAGGGUAACCCAGAAGAAAAAAGCUUCACUUUAAUGGAUGAUGUGGAAGUAGUGAAAGUUGGGUCAGUCCCUACCAGCCCAUCAUCACCACAGUCUGAUGACCAGGGAGCUUCAGAAGAACUAACACAUCAUGUUAAGACUGAGAAAAUGUACUUCUUGGAGGAUGGUUCAGCUUUUGCCAGCCCAGCAUCAGAUCACUCUAAAUAUCCUGAAGAUUUUGAUGAAGUUGCCCAUCAGUUUAAGAGUGAUAAAGUGUUCAACAAUAUUGGAUGAUGUAAGAGUAAAAUUUGGUUCAGCACCAGUCAGGGCUCUUUGAGGAGCCUGCAGUUGGACAAAAUCUUCCAAUAAAUGUCAGAUUGCCUGAAUAAAGGCAGACGACAAAUCUGACAUUGAUAUGCACAUGAAACAUUCCGUUAUGUCUUUUACCUCUGACACAUCCUCUGUAUUCUACACAGAAUACAUUGGCCAUCAGAAGGCUGGAUAAUCUUUAACACUUGCUGAUAUUCCUCCAAGUACAACUGCAUAAAGGAUGCUAUUACCAGUUUCUACAAAGAUGAAUCCACCAUGAUCCAAAUUCUACCAUUAAACCACUGCUGAAAAAUCAAGUAAGCUGAGCAACCACUGUCCUUUGUUUUAAAGGUAUGCGCAAAUAACACAGUGAAGAUAAGAGCACCACCAAAAAUGCUGAUAAGUCCAGUGGCCAGUUCUGAAAAUAAGCCACUGUAGAACAUUUUUUAUGAUAUACAAACAUCCCAUAUUGCAGAUGACCUUUAAGGAAUAGUGCAACAAAAAAUCUAAUUUACAAAGUAGUUGAGCAAAAAAUUGAAUUUACACAAUUUUCCACUUAAUCCAAAUGUCCAGCCCAGACACGUUUGUCUGAUGUUUUCACUAUUAGAUUUGUGCUGGGACUACAAGGGUAAUGUAGCUGGCAGGUAUAGAAAGCUUUUUUUUUUUUCACCCAAAGCCUGUAUGUAUUUGGUGAAUACAUGCUCCAAUAUUAUUAUUUUUUUCGCCUCAAACAACAUUGUUAAGAGAGGUAAUCGCAUUUUUAAUCAAACUAUUUCAUAAAAUGCCGUGGAUAUUUUGCAUCCAAAUUAACCAUUAUUAUGCACAUCGUUUCCCACUUUUUGGUACAAUUUUUCCUUCAGAGGAACUUGGUGAUUUUGGUUAUGUAUGGUGGCUGCUAUAUUGGGUAGUUUGUUUUUUAAAACAAAUUAAUUUCAGGAUUGCAGGGUAAGCCAUAUAAACCCCAUUGUCAUGCCCAGGCGACAUGAGACAUUAUUUAAGACAUGAAUGGGGUAAGUGACAAUUUGAAUUUGCUUUUACGAAAAUGAUAAUAGCUUGUUAUGCUUGUUUGUGAAAUUAGCCGCAUAGCUCAAGUGCAAAAUGAACAAAAGAAACAUCAGACGUAUCUUGACUGAUUGGUUAAGUGAAAAAUUGUGUAAAUUUGACUUUUUGACAAACUAUACCUUUAGGGCCAUCAUAACUAGAACCAGUAGUCAGUCAAACAGCUGCUCUAUCUGGAAGACACCCAUUCCUUAACUACUAUACCCUGUUCUGCACUACUGUGUUCAGCAAAGCCAACUUCCAGCAAGACAUACAGAAUGCCGAGCAUUGCCGAGUGUUCAUGUCCCUUCAGUUGUGCUGUACAUAUUUCUAUAGGACACGCAGAUCUGUGAACUCCUCGUUUAUACAUUUAUACACUUGCAGCCACUAAAAUGGGAAUAAUUGUUUUUGCCUUUG
This is an RNA transcript of Electrophorus electricus (electric eel), 4908 nucleotides long. It is a transcript of the gene named zinc finger protein 271, with no coding region annotated. Lineage: Eukaryota; Metazoa; Chordata; Actinopteri; Gymnotiformes; Gymnotidae. The record is from RefSeq and is a predicted model, not a curated record.